GACGAACGCUGGCGGCGUGCUUAACACAUGCAAGUCGAACGGAAAGGCCCUGCUUUUGUGGGGUGCUCGAGUGGCGAACGGGUGAGUAACACGUGAGUAACCUGCCCUUGACUUUGGGAUAACUUCAGGAAACUGGGGCUAAUACCGGAUAGGAGCUCCUGCUGCAUGGUGGGGGUUGGAAAGUUUCGGCGGUUGUGGAUGGACUCGCGGCUUAUCAGCUUGUUGGUGGGGUAGUGGCUUACCAAGGCUUUGACGGGUAGCCGGCCUGAGAGGGUGACCGGCCACAUGGGGACUGAGAUACGGCCCAGACGCCUACGGGAGGCAGCAGUGGGGAAUAUUGCACAAUGGGCGGAAGCCUGAGGCAGCAACGCCGCGUGCGGGAUGACGGCCUUCGGGUUGUAAACCGCUUUCGCCGGUGACGAAGCGUGAGUGACGGUAAUGGGUAAAGAAGCACCGGCUAACUACGUG
RNAcentral lists this ribosomal RNA (468 nucleotides) under uncultured bacterium. RNAcentral describes it as "partial 16S ribosomal RNA". It matches the Rfam family "Bacterial small subunit ribosomal RNA", at positions 28 to 507 of the family's 1533-position model. The record is from RNAcentral.